GACACAAAUUGCUCAUGAAGAGAUCAAGAUGCUGAAAACUGCCGAAAUUGCCUUCAAUCACAUGUACUUCAUCGAUGGAAAGUGAAUUACCUUAGUUUAAUGGGGUUAGCUAAAUGUAAUCCCUGAUAAAAGUAUUUCUAAAUUGGUAGACUUCUUAAUGCUUCAGCAUUGGUUGUGCUCGAAGAUCAAGAUAUGAAUUUGUCUCAAUAUAAUGUUAACGAAGGGUUGGGGUUAGAUCUGUCCAUCCAGUUUAUUGUUUUUCCUUGCUUAAUUACUCUGUUGCCACUGGAAAUAACUUGUCUAAAUUUAGAAUGGUGAAUUUUGU
RNAcentral lists this unclassified non-coding RNA (325 nucleotides) under Hevea brasiliensis (rubber tree). Lineage: Eukaryota; Viridiplantae; Streptophyta; Magnoliopsida; Malpighiales; Euphorbiaceae. The record is from RNAcentral.